This 31-nucleotide ribosomal RNA is filed under the name Penicillium kloeckeri. RNAcentral describes it as "partial 28S ribosomal RNA". Lineage: Eukaryota; Fungi; Ascomycota; Eurotiomycetes; Eurotiales; Aspergillaceae. The record is from RNAcentral.
UUGACCUCGGAUCAGGUAGGGCUACCCGCUG